GAAAUGCGAUAAGUAAUGUGAAUUGCAGAAUUCAGUGAAUCAUCGAAUCUUUGAAAGCACCUUGCGCCCCUUGGUAUUCCUUGGAGCAUGCCUGUUUGAGUAUCAUGAAAUCUUCAAAGUAAAUCUUUUGUUAACUCAAUUGGUUUCUACUUUGGUAUUGGAGGUCUUUGCAGCUUCACACCUGCUCCUCUUUGUUCAUUAGCUGGAUCUCAGUGUUAUGCUUGGUUCCACUCGGCGUGAUAAGUUAUCUAUCGCUGAGGACACUGUAAAAGGUGGCCAAGGUAAAUGCAGAUGAACCGCUUCUAAUAGUCCAUUGACUUGGACAAUACUUUUAUGAUCUGAUCUCAAAUCAGGUAGGACUACCCGCUGAACUUAAGC
RNAcentral lists this unclassified non-coding RNA (378 nucleotides) under plant metagenome. RNAcentral's name for it is "partial contains 5.8S ribosomal RNA, internal transcribed spacer 2, and large subunit ribosomal RNA". The stretch from base 1 to 105 matches the Rfam family "5.8S ribosomal RNA", at positions 50 to 154 of the family's 154-position model. The record is from RNAcentral.